RNAcentral lists this ribosomal RNA (476 nucleotides) under uncultured organism. RNAcentral describes it as "partial 16S ribosomal RNA". It matches the Rfam family "Bacterial small subunit ribosomal RNA", at positions 334 to 801 of the family's 1533-position model. The record is from RNAcentral.
CACUCCUGCGGGAGUCAGCAGUGGGGAAUUUUGGACAAUGGGCGAAAGCCUGAUCCAGCAAUGCCGCGUGAGUGAAGAAGGCCUUCGGGUUGUAAAGCUCUUUUGUCAGGGAAGAAACGGUGAAAGCUAAUAUCUUUUGCUAAUGACGGUACCUGAAGAAUAAGCACCGGCUAACUACGUGCCAGCAGCCGCGGUAAUACGUAGGGUGCAAGCGUUAAUCGGAAUUACUGGGCGUAAAGCGUGCGCAGGCGGUUUUGUAAGUCUGAUGUGAAAUCCCCGGGCUCAACCGGGGAAUUGCAUUGGAGACUGCAAGGCUAGAAUCUGGCAGAGGGGGGUAGAAUUCCACGUGUAGCAGUGAAAUGCGUAGAGAUGUGGAGGAACACCGAUGGCGAAGGCAGCCCCCUGGGUCAAGAUUGACGCUCAUGCACGAAAGCGUGGGGAGCAAACAGGAUUAGAAACCCGUGUAGUCCCAUGAU